This is a non-coding RNA of Salmo salar (Atlantic salmon), 54 nucleotides long. Lineage: Eukaryota; Metazoa; Chordata; Actinopteri; Salmoniformes; Salmonidae. The record is from Rfam.
UGCAUGCAUGAUUGAAAGUCGCUUUGGAUAAAAGCAUCUGCUAAAUGGCUUAUU